Molecule: small nucleolar RNA, 137 nt
Organism: Mustela putorius furo (domestic ferret)
Lineage: Eukaryota; Metazoa; Chordata; Mammalia; Carnivora; Mustelidae
Product: small nucleolar RNA, H/ACA box 5C
Source: Ensembl
CGCAGUCAGGUCAAAUUCAGCCCCCGUUGCUGUCAUAGCGGGCGCUGGCCUAGAUGGCUGCUACAGCAGGCCGUGCAGCCCAUGGGCCCCAGGCUCCCCACGCUGGGACCUGGGGAUAAGUCUGGCUGCAGACAGGG